This 253-nucleotide ribosomal RNA is filed under the name uncultured bacterium. RNAcentral's name for it is "partial 16S ribosomal RNA". It matches the Rfam family "Bacterial small subunit ribosomal RNA", at positions 524 to 776 of the family's 1533-position model. The record is from RNAcentral.
UACGGAGGGUGCAAGCGUUGUUCGGAAUUACUGGGCGUAAAGCGCGCGUAGGCGGCUUUGUAAGUUAGAGGUGAAAGCCCGGGGCUCAACCCCGGAACUGCCUUUAAGACUGCAUCGCUUGAAUCCAGGAGAGGUGAGUGGAAUUCCGAGUGUAGAGGUGAAAUUCGUAGAUAUUCGGAAGAACACCAGUGGCGAAGGCGGCUCACUGGACUGGUAUUGACGCUGAGGUGCGAAAGCGUGGGGAGCAAACAGG